UACGUAGGGGGCAAGCGUUAUCCGGAUUUACUGGGUGUAAAGGGAGCGCAGGCGGCGUGGCAAGUCAGAUGUGAAAACCCGGGGCCCAACCCCGGGAGUGCAUUUGAAACUGCCAUGCUGGAGUGCCGGAGAGGUAAGCGGAAUUCCUAGUGUAGCGGUGAAAUCCGUAGAUAUCUGGAGGAACAUCAGUGGCGAAGGCGGCCACCUGGACCGGUAUUGACGCUGAGGCGCGAAAGCGUGGGGAGCAAACAGG
This 253-nucleotide ribosomal RNA is filed under the name uncultured Eubacteriales bacterium. Its description in RNAcentral is "uncultured Clostridiales bacterium partial 16S ribosomal RNA". It matches the Rfam family "Bacterial small subunit ribosomal RNA", at positions 524 to 776 of the family's 1533-position model. Lineage: Bacteria; Bacillati; Bacillota; Clostridia; Eubacteriales. The record is from RNAcentral.